RNAcentral lists this ribosomal RNA (805 nucleotides) under Bacillus pumilus. RNAcentral's name for it is "bacterial SSU rRNA". It matches the Rfam family "Bacterial small subunit ribosomal RNA", at positions 545 to 1345 of the family's 1533-position model. The record is from RNAcentral. Lineage: Bacteria; Bacillati; Bacillota; Bacilli; Caryophanales; Bacillaceae.
CCGGAAUUAUUGGGGGUAAAAGGCUUGCCAGCCGGUUUUUUAAGUUUGAAGGGAAAGCCCCCGGCUCAACCGGGGAGGGUCAUUGGAAACUGGGAAACUUGAGGGCCGAAGGGGGGGANNGGAAUUCCACGUGUAGCGGUGAAAUGCGUAGAGAUUUGGAGGAACCCCCAGGGCGGAAGGCGACUUUUCCGGUCUGAAACUGACGCUGAGGAGCGAAAGCGUGGGGAGCGAACAGGAUUAGAUACCCUGGUAGUCCACGCCGUAAACGAUGAGUGCUAAGUGUUAGGGGGUUUCCGCCCCUUAGUGCUGCAGCUAACGCAUUAAGCACUCCGCCUGGGGAGUACGGUCGCAAGACUGAAACUCAAAGGAAUUGACGGGGGCCCGCACAAGCGGUGGAGCAUGUGGUUUAAUUCGAAGCAACGCGAAGAACCUUACCAGGUCUUGACAUCCUCUGACAACCCUAGAGAUAGGGCUUUCCCUUCGGGGACAGAGUGACAGGUGGUGCAUGGUUGUCGUCAGCUCGUGUCGUGAGAUGUUGGGUUAAGUCCCGCAACGAGCGCAACCCUUGAUCUUAGUUGCCAGCAUUCAGUUGGGCACUCUAAGGUGACUGCCGGUGACAAACCGGAGGAAGAGUGGGGAUGACGUCAAAUCAUCAUGCCCCUUAUGACCUGGGCUACACACGUGCUACAAUGGACAGAACAAAGGGCUGCGAGACCGCAAGGUUUAGCCAAUCCCACAAAUCUGUUCUCAGUUCGGAUCGCAGUCUGCAACUCGACUGCGUGAAGCUGGAAUUGCUAGUAAUCCC